RNAcentral lists this ribosomal RNA (253 nucleotides) under uncultured bacterium. RNAcentral's name for it is "partial 16S ribosomal RNA". It matches the Rfam family "Bacterial small subunit ribosomal RNA", at positions 524 to 776 of the family's 1533-position model. The record is from RNAcentral.
UACGAGGGGGGCGAGCGUUGUUCGGAAUCACUGGGCGUAAAGCGUGCGUAGGCGGUUGGCUACGUCAGAUGUGAAAGCCCUGGGCUCAACCUGGGAAUGGCAUUUGAAACUGGCCGGCUAGAGUGUGAUAGAGGAUGGCGGAAUUCCCGGUGUAGCGGUGAAAUGCGUAGAGAUCGGGAGGAACAUCCGUGGCGAAGGCGGCCAUCUGGAUCAACACUGACGCUGAGGCACGAAAGCGUGGGGAGCAAACAGG